RNAcentral lists this ribosomal RNA (289 nucleotides) under Rhipicephalus sanguineus (brown dog tick). Its description in RNAcentral is "partial large subunit ribosomal RNA". The record is from RNAcentral. Lineage: Eukaryota; Metazoa; Arthropoda; Arachnida; Ixodida; Ixodidae.
UUUUGACUAUACAAAGGUAUUGAAAUAAGAUUUUAAUUGAAUGCUAAGAGAAUGGAAUUUCAGAAAAAAACUUUUUUCAAGUUAAAAAUUGAAAUUUUUUUAAUUUGUGCAGAAACAAUUAUUAAUAUUAAGGACAAGAAGACCCUAUGAAUUUAUAAAUUUUAUUUAAUAUGUAACUACUAUUGAAAAAAUUUUAGCUGGGGCGGCGGAAAAAUAUUUAAAACUUUUUAAAAAUAAAAUGACCCAUUAUUAAUGAUUAUAUGUUAAAUACUCUAGGGAUAACAGCGUU